CAGUUUCCUCUCACCCCUCCCUAUGAAAGCAGAAGUUCUGUUAGGGCAUAGAGAAAACUCCACCUUCGAGCUAGUUCACUCGUUCUCUUCUGCUCACCAUCCUAGUCUGUGGAGCUGUUGUGCCUAACUUGUGCUCUUUAAGUUGUUGUUCCUUUUCUUGCAUCUAAAAGAUGGAAAUACUUCUGGAGGUAGGCCUGAUGGCGGUAGCGGUGCAGCUUAGUGGGCUCGUUGGGGUGGCCCUCGAAAGAUGAUUCUAUGGUCCUAGUGCCUUUGUAACUCCUGGCUCUAGGAGCUUUUCUUUUGCAUAACUGUGAACCUUGUUGUUUCUGUUUUGGCUAUGGCAUGGUUGUAUGCCUAGAAUCCCUUUUAAGUACUCUUA
Molecule: long non-coding RNA, 379 nt
Organism: Vigna unguiculata (cowpea)
Lineage: Eukaryota; Viridiplantae; Streptophyta; Magnoliopsida; Fabales; Fabaceae
Source: RefSeq, a predicted model, not a curated record